RNAcentral lists this long non-coding RNA (4582 nucleotides) under Canis lupus familiaris (dog). Its description in RNAcentral is "lncRNA (ENSCAFG00000053058.1)". Lineage: Eukaryota; Metazoa; Chordata; Mammalia; Carnivora; Canidae. The record is from RNAcentral.
AAAUGUAGUCCUGGAGAUCAGUCUACUGUUCCUAUGGUCAUCAUACAAAAGAAUUCCACGGAGCCUAUCACAUGGGGGUCACUAAGAUAUAAAAUAGAAAAUUAUAAACAAUGACAAACAACAUUUAUGAAUUCUUAUUUUGUGGUGUCAGCUCUAAACAAUGACAAACAACAUUUAUGAAUUCUUAUUUUGUGGUGUCAGCUCUAAGUGAACUAAAAAUCUGCAACAGAAGUACAAGUCAAGUGCUUCUAUUAAUGUUGUCAUCCUAAUUUCAUAGAUAAGAAAAUGGAUCAUGGAAGGGGUAAGAAAGCCACAUGUCCCAUCCCCGAAACAUGGCACCAGAGCCCACACGCUCCUAAAGACUAUGCUAUCCUGCCUCUAAUGGAGGUGCAAGAAGAAAUACAUAAUUUUAAUAUAAAGAACUGGCUUCACUUCUGAAAAGAGAAAGGGACUGAUACACCUAUUUAAGAAAGGAUCUGGGAUUUGAGAUUAUUUUCUUAUCCUAGAAGAUAUAUAAAAUGAAUGCAUGUACAAUAUUUUAGUGUACUAUUUAAAUAGUGACUUUUUUUCUUUUUGCAGAAGUCUGUUUAUUUAUACUGCUCAGUGAAAUCUUUUGAAACCAUGUAUGUUACUUUAGUUCAUUUCCAGACUACAUAGUUCAUAGGGAAUAUAGAAAUAAAUUUGGUGUAAUUUUAUAAGAAUAACACCAAUAUUCCAAAAUCAAAUUUAUAAACUUAAUUUAAACCUGGGUCAAUUAUUUUCCCCUAUAAAUAAUGUCUUGCAUUUUUUACUAGAUGUAUAGUUGGUCUAAUGAAUGCUCAAGUGUUCUUGUUAAAUGCAUGAAUGAUCGAGUAAGUAAAUUGUAACUUAGAUUGUCAGUUCUAUAGUUUUCCAUUUUAUCUACUGAAAACUAUCUUCUUUAUAAAAACUGGUAUUCAGGACAUUUGGAGUUCAUAUAAAUCCAUAAGCAUUCCAAGGCUCUGGGCAGCGUGUAAUCAAAAUCGAAUCCUGAGAAUCCUAUGAAGUACAUCUGAAAGUAAUAAAAGUUAAAUACAAAUGAUUGACGGUAGAUAAUAAAGAACAUAUAUAUCCAAUAUAUGCAAAUCAAGAAGAGGAGACUUAAGCAAUGACAUAAGGGCAGCCACAAGUUUCACUUGAAAGGCAGCCUUGAAUAACAAAAACCAGCUGAAGACAGCGGUUUCUGAAAACACAAUCAACAAAAAGUCUAAACAGGUGGAAACUGCCAUUGGAAAUACAUGUGAGAGGAGGCAGUUUUCCCUUGACAUGUGGCUUUGUCUAAACCAAGCCAGAACUGCAUCUACAGAAAAUCUGUAAAAAUUCUAAAUGGUAAGUGAAUAUGUGUAUACAAUUUGGAAAGUACCGUUGAUCACAUGUUAACCUAUAAGAGAGAGAAAGAAGCGGAUGUUUGUGCAGUGUUUGCCUUUUUCAAAUGGCAUAUAAAUUAAUGUAAAACAGUGAUUAAACCCUCCCAAAAUCAAUAGUCUCGUAGUAAAUAGAAUACGAAGAGGCACAGAAAUGGGAUCACAGUAGAAUAAAGCCAGUGACAUUCAACAUUUCUAAGGUAAAUUGUUGGGAUUAACUAGAAAGAUACAUUAUAAGACAAUAUAGAAAAAGCAAGAGUCCUUUCCAUACCACCAAACUGUAUGUUUUGUUUCUUUCAAUCACAAAAUUUUUCAAAAUAAUUUGUAAGCAUUCCUUUUUUUCUUCGGGUUGUAUCUUAGUUAUUUUAUCCUGUUGCCUGAAAUCAUUGGUAAGAGGGCAAAUCACCAUCAAGUUUUGAUUUGGAUGAGGUGAGCUGUUUUGCCUGCCCCUUACAUUCAUCUUAUUAUAUACGUAGACAUAUUUUAUCAAAAGGGGGAAAAAAAAACACGAUGAAGUGCCACUGGAUUUCUAGAUGAUCAAGUGGGCAUUAACAAAUUGAUUUUUUUCAGAAAUCAGGUUCUUUCUUUUCCUCCAACUUACUAUCAUAAAAAUCUAAAGGCAAAUGAAAUGUAAUAAAUUCAUAGGACAGUCUCCCUGGGAAAAUGCUAUUAGCGCAGAGUUGCUAACCACGAACAAAUUACUGCAAUUAGAAUUACCUGAGUGGCAUUGUAAGGCCUCUCUGCCUCACUGAAGAUAUAUGAUUUCAGAAUUUGUGUUCCUUGCAUUAAUAUUAAGACUCACUGAAUGAAUAAAGGGAGAUAUUUAAUGAUUAUUCAUUUGAUGGUAGGACUUGGUGUCAAAAGGUGUUCCUCAGAGUUUAGAUUCUUGUAAAUCUGGUGUAAUUAUCCAUCCUUUGGGAAAUUAAACAUCUCUAUCUUAAAAUAAGGUCUACAAGGAAAAUCACUCUUUAUAAGCUAGUUGGAGAAUAAAAACUGCUUUUAUUUAAAGAGUCUUGAGUUCUUCACUGCUAACACAUCUGCCUAAAUCCACACAUACUAACAUAUUUUAAUUAUAGUCAAGAACUGUAUGGACCCUUAAUCUGUGAUAAUCUUCAGUAGUCUUUCUCAAGUUUUGAUUUGAUGAAAUAAUUGAAGUGAAACGGUUUUAAAACUAUCAUCUACCAUAGAGAUAUGAAUUUAUAGGCAAGAAACUGAAAGGAUCAAGAGAAAAUCGGAAGAAACACAGAAAUCAAAAUACUACUAGGCUCCAAUAAGAAUAACAGGAGAAUGAGAGCUGUCUAAAAUUCAUAUAAUUCUCUCUCUCUUUUUCUCAUUAUCAUCUAUCUACGUAUCAUCUAUCUACAGAUAUAUGCAGCAUAUAACUCAUUUUAGCUAAACCUUCAACAAUGAAACUUACACCAAACUCAGGUUAAUAAUGUAGAAUUACAAAAAUCUUAGAGAAAAUGUUACAUUUCUGUAAAAAUGUAGAUUAUUAAUUUAAAAAUAACUUAUAGUUUCUCAAAUCAUCAUCUUUUGAAUUAUCUUCUCAAAUCUGAAUUAUUCACUUAAAGACCUAGAAUCAAUUUUCAUCAAACUUUUCAGGAAGGAUUGUACCAUAGAUGAUAGAAUUAGAGUCAAAAAUUUAUCUCCAAAGACAAAAAAAAAAAGUUCUGAAUAAUUUGAUGAAUUUUAACAAAAAUUUAUAUAGCGUCUAGUAUUUUGCUUCGAUAAAUCAGUUUUAGGACUCUGGCUACUUUAGACUCCAUUUAAAGAGCAGAAUGUGUCAAUAAAAUAGUUGUUUUCCCAUUAAGAAACAUUGCCAAAAUGUAUAAAAAUGUGUAUUAACAUGGUGCACUUCUGCCCUUAAUUAGCUUGUGGGUACCAGGAGAAAAUGAUGACACAGCGGAAUGUGGCCAUGACUGAAUGGAUCAGGGUUAUCUGUGGAAAUUCCCUCACCCUGAUGGGCAGGAAGAAGAAAUGCCUCCCAGGAGUGAUAACACUAAACUGUGUUUUAAUAGUGCAUCUUGGUGCACUUAGAGACAAACGAGCGUUAACGUGGAAAAGUGGAGAGGCUGUUGAUUAUCAGAGUCGCAGUAUGGAAUGCAAAAGAUGUUGGCCUUUAUCCUGUGAGUGAUGACAACGUUGUUGUGAUAUUUAAGCUGUGCAAGUGUAAAUCUCAAAAAGAUCCGUUGAUUCUGACUAAAACUAAAUAAGCAUCAGCACGAAACUCAGAAGUACAUGCUUAUUUCAAAAAUCACAGUAUUUUCCGUGUACACUGUUUUAUUUCAAAGAUGUGAAAAGUAUGAACUAUGAUGAUUCCUCACAUUAAGGACCUUAAGGAAAGUUGCAGGGGUGACCUCGUCUCAAAUUUUAAUACAGUUAAGAUAAGAUGAUAGCUGAUAAGUGAAUCAGAAUAAUUAUGAGGAUGUAAAGAAGGUAGAGAACACUACCAGACUGAGUUUCAGGAAGGCUUCAUAAAAGAAAUAGAAGUGAACCCUCGAAGGACCAGUAGGAUGGCCAAAGGAGAAAUAGAGCCGUUGGGAAAGUAGUUCAAUAUGCCUGCCCGUUGAGAAGAUGCUCAAAAUAGUUUAGGUUAAGUUCAUGUGGAAUAGUGGGAAAAUAAGGCAGAGAGAUAGAGAAUGGUUGGUUUGUAAAAUCCCUUUAAUGAAAGAGUUGAAGGGUUUGGACUUUCAUUCAUAGAGUUUUUCUUUCUUUCUUUUUAUUUUUUUUUUCAUUUUUUUUUCAUAGAGUUUUUCGAAGAGAGAAUGAAAAGCCCCAAUCAAGUGUCUUAGCCUAGGUUCCUGAGAAAAUAUAGUCUGAGGCAUACAUUUAUAUAUAUAUUUUUUUAGGGAGUGCAUCUCCAAGAACCGAAGUGAAGGGCCGAGGGUUAAAGCUAGGGAGGAGAAAGAGCCAGAACUAAGUCAGUCACUUCUUCAUGGGACUGAUGCUCAGUCCUUGGGAGGUAGGUACCCUGAGGAGCCAUAUAACGUGUGUCAGGGCUGCUCCAAAUGGAGAGAAGAGAAGAAGUAAGAAAUUUGUAAUCACUUCUGGGACAUCUGGGGGGCUCAGCGGUUGAGUGUCUGCCUUCGGCUCAGGGCGUGACCCUGGGGGUCCUGGGAUCAAGUCCUGCAUCGGCUCCCCAUGGGGAGCCUGCUUCUCCCUUUGCCUGUGUCUCUGCCUCUCUCUGUAUCCCUUAUGAA